RNAcentral lists this long non-coding RNA (1458 nucleotides) under Vitis vinifera (wine grape). Its description in RNAcentral is "long non-coding RNA (VVIN_LNC002621)". The record is from RNAcentral. Lineage: Eukaryota; Viridiplantae; Streptophyta; Magnoliopsida; Vitales; Vitaceae.
CUUGCCAUGUCUAUCAUGGGGAUCAUGUGGCCUUGUGCCAGUAACGGGACCAAAACGAAGUGAAGCUGGUUGGAUGUUGAUGCCAUUGCAGUCCGUAAAACUAGUUCGCCACAAUGGAAUAUGCACUUUGUGUUUAGAAUUUGAAGGUGGAUGCAGCAAUGCUUUGCUUUUGCUUUCAAUUUCUCCGCGUUAGCUUGACCUUUGACAGAGUCUCCUUUGUUUCUAGAUCAACGACUUGACUCAAAUUUGCUGUGCGAUUGACAAGUCAAUAGAUAUGCGUAUUAGACUAUAGAGGGGGAUGAAUUUAUAAAUUAUCUGUCUAUUUACUGCUAUCAUCACAACAUACUCAAGAUAAAGCAUGAUUGAUUAUUACAUAAUCAGAAGAGAGCACAAAAUUGGUCUCUGCUGGAACUUUCACUGCAAAUGCAAUGCGGCUUUUGUUAAUGUUGAAGGUUGUUGUAAAUUAGGAGUGAUUGUUAUUGCCUACUGACUUAGAAAGUCUUCUGGGCAGGUAAUGCUAGUCUGCAUGGAAAUGAGGCAUUUGGAAGAGGUCAGAAUUCAUUGUUGGAUUAGUACAUACACGUAGGGUGAAUCAUCCACUUGCCGGUGUGGGACGGUUGACCCCCCUGCCCACUUAGCCACUGACGUUUCCGUGCGAAACGGUGGAUGGACUUGAACCGAGUGCAUAUGUUGAUCAAUUAUUUGAACUUUGAAGUCUCAAGUCUCAUUGGACGAUUGCGUGCAAAACGGUGGAUGGGCCUCCCCACCGCAUUCUGAGGUAGACUUCGGCUUCCAUGACUUGACUUCAAUUUUUUUGGCUUGGUUGACUUAGUCAACACGCUUAGUGUUUUUUUUGGACUCCGCCUUCUUUUUGUUCAUUUGUUUUCUUUCGGUCUAAAUUAUUUUUUAGAUGGACGUAUGAAAUUUGAAUUUUAUAAAAUCGAAUUCCUAUCUUAUGAUAUUUUCUUUUAAUUUUUUUAUUUUUUACAAAUAAACAUACUUUUACCUGUACUUACUUCAUCACCAUAUCUAGUCGAUAAAGUUUUUAAAUAUCAUUCCUGUAAAAUAACUUUCACCAAAUAGUUGUCACAACUUUUUAUAUGAAUUUGAUAAUUUUGACUCAGUUGCUACCUAUCAAUGUAAUAUUUGUAUGAAGUAUGUUUCACGCAAGUUUGAUUUGUAUAAAGAAAACACCAGUAGAUGAUUAAGAAUAUUAUAGUAAUUCCCUUACCUUUAACGUGAUUCAUUCUGAUCUUGUACCUCCAGGAAUUUGUUGGUUGAUACGUCCAUGAAGCACGAGCAGGGUGAGUAGGUAAUUUAGGACGCCAUCAACAAAUCCAAUACCACCUCCAAUCAGAUCUGUCCCACAUGAUACAUACUUUAGUGGUUGGACCCAACUUUCAAAUUUAAGAAAUAUGGUUAAAUGACCUGGUCUAGUGGCAUUAUACACAUUGUCAC